CCUAAGGAUCCUCUAGGAUCCACAAAUUACUCAUUCAACUCAUAU
Molecule: non-coding RNA, 45 nt
Organism: Picea glauca (white spruce)
Lineage: Eukaryota; Viridiplantae; Streptophyta; Pinopsida; Pinales; Pinaceae
Source: Rfam